Molecule: long non-coding RNA, 336 nt
Filed under: Selaginella moellendorffii
Lineage: Eukaryota; Viridiplantae; Streptophyta; Lycopodiopsida; Selaginellales; Selaginellaceae
Description: long non-coding RNA (SMOE_LNC000880)
Source: RNAcentral
GCACGAAGGAGCUUCGACGAUUUUCAUAAGCAUGCUGUGUCCAAACGACCUUCUCGACAGCAUUACUCUCACAAGCGCUGGAGUUCCUGCGGUGAAUAGAACCCUGUCCAAGAAGACGAAAUUCAAUCGCAUUCGAUCCCACAAAGAAAGAUCCAGAAAUCUUACCUGGAGAGAACCGGAAACGGAUAUUUCGAGAGGAAAUCCGACACAGAGCUCUCGGGAAGGGCGCGCGGCAAAUGCACGAGAUCGAUCGCGACAAGAAUGCGAUACCUGGAAGCGCGACGAGAUCAGAGGCCUCCGCCAAGAGCAGUUUCGCGUCGACGCCGUCGAUCGCCA